AGAGAGGAACCGGUGUGGUGAACUCCUGGCAUGCGCAGGUGACAAGAGGUUCCGCAGGGUAAGGUCACAGGCUUAUUAAACUUGGAUGACAGUAAACCGAUGACUAACUGGAAUGAAUGGAGUCUCUACACAUCAAAUCGUGUGUCUUGACUACUCAGGAUGUCAAGGGCAAAGGUUAACUCCUGGGGGUUUUCUUUCUGUAUUAAGAUUCUCAAGAGAACAGAACCAGUGGUGGAUGUGGAAACAAGGCUCCGAAAAUGUUAAAGAAGCCACUCCUGGUCAUUACAUCAGCUAAACGACAGGCUCUGAUUCACCUGGGCUGUGGGAUUUCCAGGAUCAAAGCAAGUGUAAGAGGGCUGAUGGUGGGCCACUGUCACCACACCCUUCAUCUUUCACUGUGUCAUCUGAGGUUGUUCUACAGUGCCUUGCUUCUGAUUGUGCUGUCAACCUUCUCAGUCCCUGGGUUGGACCUAGGACAACAGGCCAGCCUUUGGUUAGCAUCAGCAGCUGAGUGGAGACUCGUCUCCAAGCAUCAAGGAUGUGAAAAUGUGAUCUUGUUGGGGAUAGUGGGAGCUUGGGGGAUGGGUUCCUUUGUACUUCUCUCAAGGUCUCCUGGUCCCUCCCUGUGUGUUUGUGGGCGCCACAGACAGCCUCACAAUCAGGAUGAGUGGUAACGGGACAGUCAAACACAAUGAAGGGAAUCAUUGUCUCACGAGAGUCAGAACAUCUGUUCCUCCCACCGCACCUGGGCGAAGGCCAAAUAAUCAAAAGAAGGAAACAGGAUCUGCCAACAACGCACUUUACCUUGAGUCUUUGUGUAGAGAAUACCUUCUCCAAGUAGGCGCCUUUCAUUGGCUCAGAUUUUCCCAUCUCAGUUGUCAUUAUAACUGAAAGCUAUUGUAGCUCAUAAUUUCACAUUGUCCUUUCAAAUAGAAGCAUCGCCAAGCAGAUGUGAACAAUUAUCUUCAAUUGUGAUUUUUUUUCCAUUAAAUUUCUAAAGGAAUACCUAACCUGGGUGUUCAAACAUUGGUUAAUCC
Molecule: long non-coding RNA, 1037 nt
Organism: Mus musculus (house mouse)
Lineage: Eukaryota; Metazoa; Chordata; Mammalia; Rodentia; Muridae
Product: RIKEN cDNA 5830428M24 gene
Exons: 5
Source: RefSeq, marked validated